Molecule: ribosomal RNA, 461 nt
Filed under: uncultured bacterium
Lineage: Bacteria
Description: partial 16S ribosomal RNA
Rfam family: Bacterial small subunit ribosomal RNA
Source: RNAcentral
CCUACGGGAGGCCGCAGUGAGGAAUAUUGGUCAAUGGGCGGGAGCCUGAACCAGCCAAGUCGCGUGAGGGAAGACGGUCCUACGGAUUGUACACCUCUUUUGCCGGGGAGCAACGGUGUCCUUGCGAGGGCCCGAUGAGAGUACCCUGAGAAACAGCAUCGGCUAACUCCGUGCCAGCAGCCGGGUUAAUACGGAGGAUGCGAGCGUUAUCCGGAUUCAUUGGGUUUAAAGGGAGCGUAGAUGGGUAGUUAAGUCAGUUGUGAAAGUUUGCGGCUCAACCGUAAAAUUGCAAUUGAUACUGGCAGCCGUGAGGACAGUUGAGGUAGGCGGAAUUCGUGGUGUAGCGGUGAAAUGCUUAGAUAUCACGAAGAACUCCGAUUGCGAAGGCAGCUUACUAAGCUGCCACUGACAUUGAUGCUCGAAAGUGUGGGUAUCAAACAGGAUUAGAUACCCGUGUAGUC